CAGUGGGAGCCUUGAUUUAUCAGGGUGACUGCGUACCUUUUGUAUAAUGGGUCAGCGACUUAUAUUCUGUAGCAAGGUUAACCGUAUAGGGGAGCCGCAGGGAAACCGAGUCUUAACUGGGCGUUAAGUUGCAGGGUAUAGACCCGAAACCCGGUGAUCUAGCCAUGGGCAGGUUGAAGGUUGGGUAACACUAACUGGAGGACCGAACCGACUAAUGUUGAAAAAUUAGCGGAUGACUUGUGGCUGGGGGUGAAAGGCCAAUCAAACCGGGAGAUAGCUGGUUCUCCCCGAAAGCUAUUUAGGUAGCGCCUCGUGAAUUCAUCUUCGGGGGUAGAGCACUGUUUCGGCUAGGGGGUCAUCCCGACUUACCAACCCGAUGCAAACUGCGAAUACCGAAGAAUGUUAUCACGGGAGACACACGGCGGGUGCUAACGUCCGUCGUGAAGAGGGAAACAACCCAGACCGCCAGCUAAGGUCCCCAAGUCAUGGUUAAGUGGGAAACGAAGUGGGAAGGCUCAGACAGCCAGGAUGUUGGCUUAGAAGCAGCCACCAUUUAAAGAAAGCGUAAUAGCUCACUGGUCGAGUCGGCCUGCGCGGAAGAUGUAACGGGGCUAAACCAUGCACCGAAGCUGCGGCAGCAACAUUUCGAUGUUGUUGGGUAGGGGAGCGUUCUGUAAGCCUGCGAAGGUGUGCUGUGAGGCAUGCUGGAGGUAUCAGAAGUGCGAAUGCUGACAUAAGUAACGAUAAAGCGGGUGAAAAACCCGCUCGCCGGAAGACCAAGGGUUCCUGUCCAACGUUAAUCGGGGCAGGGUGAGUCGACCCCUAAGGCGAGGCCGAAAGGCGUAGUCGAUGGGAAACGGGUUAAUAUUCCCGUACUCGGUGUUACUGCGAAGGGGGGACGGAGAAGGCUAGACCAGCCGGGCGACGGUUGUCCCGGUUCAAGCGUGUAGGUGGGAAGAAUUGGUAAAUCCGUUCUUCUGUGAACACUGAGGCGUGAUAACGAGGCACUACGGUGCUGAAGUGGUUGAUGCCCUGCUUCCAGGAAAAGCCUCUAAGCAUCAGGUAACAGUGAAUCGUACCCCAAACCGACACAGGUGGUCAGGUAGAGAAUACUCAGGCGCUUGAGAGAACUCGGGUGAAGGAACUAGGCAAAAUGGUGCCGUAACUUCGGGAGAAGGCACGCUGGCAUUAGGUGAAGGGACAUGCGCCCGGAGCCGAAGCCAGUCGCAGAUACCAGCUGGCUGCAACUGUUUAAUAAAAACACAGCACUGUGCAAACACGAAAGUGGACGUAUACGGUGUGACGCCUGCCCGGUGCUGGAAGGUUAAUUGAUGGGGUUAGCGGCAACGCGAAGCUCUUGAUCGAAGCCCCAGUAAACGGCGGCCGUAACUAUAACGGUCCUAAGGUAGCGAAAUUCCUUGUCGGGUAAGUUCCGACCUGCACGAAUGGCGUAAUGAUGGCCAGGCUGUCUCCACCCGAGACUCAGUGAAAUUGAACUCGCUGUGAAGAUGCAGUGUACCCGCGGCAAGACGGAAAGACCCCGUGAACCUUUACUAUAGCUUGACACUGAACCUUGAACCUUGAUGUGUAGGA
This 1593-nucleotide ribosomal RNA is filed under the name Xenorhabdus bovienii subsp. africana. RNAcentral's name for it is "partial 23S ribosomal RNA". It matches the Rfam family "Bacterial large subunit ribosomal RNA", at positions 571 to 2143 of the family's 2925-position model. Lineage: Bacteria; Pseudomonadati; Pseudomonadota; Gammaproteobacteria; Enterobacterales; Morganellaceae. The record is from RNAcentral.